ACCCCGAAGCACCACACCUCCCGCCAUGCACUGCAUCGCCCCCCUGCUCCUCCUCCCACUCCCGACCGCCUCCCGUCAUGCGCUAUCGCCAAAACCCAGACGCCACCUCUUCCUCCCCUUCUCCCCUCCCGCGCCUGUAAGUUCCACCUCGCCUCGGCGCGCUCGCCGUCCCGCGCUGCCGCUUCGGUUUUCGGCGACGACGAGGAUGAGGAGGUUGACGUGGAUGACGACGAGGACGACGAGACAACCAUCCGCCACUGGUGCCCUUCCAUCCAUGGCGUCGCCGCGGCCACCCCGCAAUCAACUCCUAGAUCCCGUGCUCCUCGCGAGUUCUGGCUCGCGCCCGCAAUCCGUGCCUCCGCCGCUGCAGCCUUUCCAUCGCACAGCGCCCUUCCAUCCAUGGCUCGCUUCCAGAAAUCACCAUCUCCGGCGUAGCGUCGCAUUCCAAAAUCCACCAUCCUCUGCCGCGAUGGAAGGGAAUCAAUCCGUCGAUGGAAGGAACGCGUGCUUCCCCCUUCCAUCCUCGGCGCUGCGCAAAUUGCGGUGUGGGCGAUGUGGAUCGCCAAAAUCCACUCCUCACUAGCGGCCCCUUCCAUCCUAGGCGCUCUUCCAUAUGUGAAUCAGCCGAGAGCACAAGUCAAGAGCACCAUCUGCUCCCCUUCCACAAGUCGAGAGCACAGGCAAGGCUGCCCCAGUUUCAUCCUCCUCUCGUUUAGUUGAAUCAGCGGGACCUGGAGCAAACGAUCUGGACAGCCCGCAAGUUCGUGUGCUACGUAUGUCUGUGAGUUUGUUGCCGCUGUGGCGUCUCCCUUCCCCUCCCUGAUUCCUCUACCCUGUAGAUCUGGACUACCACCUCAACGACGCACUUGUCACGCUCCUUCGGGCCAAGCCUCGCGAGUUCUGGCUCCGGGGUAGGCGGAACAUUCUCUUGUGCAUUGCUUGCUGAUCGAACCUGCUAAUGCUUGCUGAUGCUUAUCCGCUCAGAAGAAUGUGAGUCGUAGCAUUCCAGCCAAAUUUUGCUUAUCCACUCAGAAGGUUAUAUUAUUUGCUCACACCGCAAUACUUGUCGGGCUCCUGCUUGCUGAUGCUUAUUUGCUUCUCUCUAACUGGAUUUAAAAUGUACUGUCCUAUAUGUUUAGAUGCAGGUCAAGCCUCUUAACAAAUUAGGUUUUUUUGCUGUGUUGUUUAAACUAUUCCAAUUUGUUGUGGCAAUUCAAUUGACACAUCCAGAAAAAAUAUAUCUCUAGCUAUUCGUUAUUUCAUAUUGAAAUGCUUUUAUUUACUAUGUGAGAAAACUAACAUUUCAAUAUUGUCAAAUUUCUUAUAUUAAAUGUCAAGCAUGUGAGUCGUAGCAUUCCAGCCAAAUUCUUAUAUCAUCCCCACUGUCGACCCGACACUCAAUGGUAUAAAUUACACUUGUGUAGUAAAUACCUGUAGAAUUUCAUAAGAGCACAAAUAACAAAUGUGCAUGUGCAUGGCACACACACAUCUUUUUUAAUUGAGCGUGUCUCUAAGGCACUGAUAAGUUCAGGUAAAUGUAGGGUCAGGCCAUACCUUUCGCUUUCGGAUCUGUGUUAUCGUAUUCCGUCUGACUGUCCCUGAAUGAUACACUUGCAUUUUCUUUUGUUAUUAUUCUCAUCUUCUGUGUUUAUGUUUAUUACAUGACACUUUGCAGGAAUAUAAACAUUUUCUAGAGGAAGCUAAGAAACGUGAUCAUAGGAUAUUAGGGAAAGCACAGGAACUCUUCUUUUUCCGUGAACUUAGAAUUGUGCAGCCCUGGAAGCUGCUUCUUCCUUCCACAUGAUCCUUAAACCAAGGAGCAUAUUAAGAAAUUUCUCUCAAUGGGGCAUGUGUCUUAUGAAGUUCUAUUACAUGUUAGAUUUUUAGAUAUAUGGGAACUAGCUGGCUUGCCCACGUUGUGACGACAUGUUAUGCGCUUUCUCCAAUGGCUAUAGGUAUGCACCCUCCUCCCUUUGGAUCAUAUCUAUGGUGUUUCUACCUAUGCAGUGUCUCCCCUUUGAUGUGAAUUUAAUGCCCACUUUAGACCAGCAUGACUAUUGGUUUGAUAAAAGCUUGCAAUCAUCAAGUUUUGAAAUACAUUUUUUGUUUUAGUAGUACUAAUGGAUAAACUAUAAUUUUCAGAAGUAAUGUUUCUUCCUUACAUAUGUUGCUCUGGUCAGUGAUGGCCAGGGACAUACAUGUGUAUUCUUGCUGCAAAAAAAAAACAGGUACGUUUGGAUUUUUGUUGUCCACAAAUAGCAGCAAUUCUAUGCUUUCUUGCUUGAUACAGUGUGGCAGAUGACAGCUUGCUUCUGCUUGUACGGUAAAUGCAAAUAUUUUUUAAAUGAUUGUUUAUUAUCCUCCAAUCAUGAUUUCCUCUAUGUACUGAAAAAGUUGGAGCGGUUGAUGCAAGUUUUGAUUCAAAUAUUCAAAACUACUUGUACGCCAUGCUCCUUAAACUGUUUUGCAAAAUUCAGUUGCAAUAUCUUCCUCAAUUUCAAAUUCAACCAUGUGUCUUGCUGUGUCAGGAUCUGAUUCAGUUCUACUUACUCCAUAUAAAACUGAAUAGAAAUCUACACAUUUUGCAAACAGCAAAAUGCCCCAGUUGUAGGAAUGAGCUGGCCAUAUAGGGUCUGAUUCAGUUGUACUUCUUCUUGAUAAAACUGAAUAGACUAGAGAAUAUCUGAGAACAUGGACUAAUUUGAUUAGCUUGAUGCGUGGGUCAAUGUUUGGUGUCAAACAAUGUAAUCCAUUGCUUUCUGAACCAUAGCAGCAGUGGCCUGAAGUACUAUGUAAUUCAGUUUUAGUGCAGCAACUAUGGAUAAGUACUAUGUGAUUUUGUGAAAUAAAAAAUGAAUAGUAGUUUUGUUUUCUAAAAUGAGCUAAAAGAAAGGACAACAAUUUGUUUGUCUAGGCACCGGUCAACGUUUAAGAUCUAUAGAAAUCAACAAUAUUUCUAACUAUUAAGUGUUAAUUAUCUAAUGUUAUUUCUAACUAUUAAGUGUUAAUUAUCUAAUGUAUUUAAUGAAGUAACACAGUUAGACUUGCCUAAAGAGGCCAGUGAAGCUUCACUUGCUGCAUAGAGAAGUACUUUUUUAUUAUCAUGUAAAUGCAUGGUUCUUUGGAACCAUUUGGCCUAUCUGAUUAAUUAUUACUAUCAGCCAUAUGUGUUUGCAACUGAAUACUUACACUGUUUUUUCUUUUUGAGAGUAGACCACUGGUUCUCUGUAUUUCUGGGUUGCCCAUUUGGCUGGUCCAGUAUGGGUCUGUUGGCAUCUUGGUGCCGCGUUUGGCUGGAGGCCAUCAACCUCAUUGUCGGGAUUGUCACACAGUUACAGAGGUACUCUCUAUUUGUUUAUUACUACUAAUCUAGCCACAUGUUUUAACUAACUGUCUAUAAUAGGCUACAGCCAGUGCAGUGAUCUUUCUCCAUUCUGAAUUUCAUCUAUUCUUUACAGCAAAAGGGAACUCCUAGCUACCCAUUUCCUUACUCUCUGUUCAUAGUUGGGUUUCCUGCAAGAAUCUUCAUCUGCUCUGGUGUGCAUUUUCCAUUUAAUCCUUAAGCCAAAACAAUGGCAACUGAUAACUCUCGAUUUCACUGCUCAUAGAUAAUAAAUCAUACACGUUGUCCAUACAACUCAUAGUAACUCGUAAUGCACCAAAUUAAAUGUUCUAUUUUACCCUGUAAUAUCCUAUUUGAUUAGGUCUUUCAAAAAUUUCAGCUGGAUCCAAAUAAUGCAAACUUAUUGUGCACUUCAGUACUCAGAUGAACUUAAACCAAUCACAUAACUUACUAUGCCUAACUCAUAUUGCCUAUCUCUUUUGCAAUUCCAGGCAUAUGCGGGAUUCCAAGAAUUGCAAAGCAUCAUCCUGCUUUGAGCUAUUCCUCUCUUGGGGCGCCAUGCUCCUGUUCGUUGCCCAGCUUCCAGCUUCAGCUGAUGUUUGGUGCUUGCAUGCAGGUGAUCGGUGGCACCAUCAUUGUUGUGAUGCUCCUGCUGGUGGGACGCAACCGGUGUCGUAGGUGUUCACCCACUUCUAGACAUCGCUCUACAUGAUGGGGUCAGUAGCAAUGCGGUGCCUACGCCGUCAUCAUGUCCUUCCUGGUGAGCCAGUAUUCGCUGUACGUGUACGCGACAACGCAUUGCGCACCUGACGGAGGAGACCAAAGGCGUCGAAAAGAACGACCCCAUCGCCAUCCUCUCCAGCAACGACAUCAUCUCCGUGUUUGGCUGGGCGGACAUCCUGGCCCUCACCUUCAGCAUCCAGGUAAUUUCAAUCUUUUGGAGGAUCAUGCUUUUCUUUUGGAUUUUGUCUUCAACUAUCGUUAUUUCUGCGACAUCAAGAUUGAUACGGGCAACUCCAUUGAUAAGACUGCAUGCUCAAAUAAAGCUUGGACCAUGAAGUGAGAUCGAGCUCAUGGACAAGUAGCGAUCAUCUUUUAUCCAAUCUUAGUGUAUUCCCAAUAGAGCACACGUGAAGAAGAAUAUUUUGUUUGACUAUUGUAAAUGUUUAAGGCAAUGGAAAUUUACAAAUCUUAAAUAGUCAUGGUAUAUGCAUGUUAUUCAAAGGAGACUUCGUUUGAAUUAUAAGACCUUGUGGUAGUUUUUGAAUGUUUGUAUGAGUUUGUAAUUUAUUGUGAUAAUCUUAGCAUUUAAAUGAUGCAGCUGACAUGACAUUUUUAAAA
Long non-coding RNA from Zea mays, 4684 nucleotides. RefSeq lists it as uncharacterized. The transcript has 6 exons. NCBI's taxonomy places the organism in Eukaryota, Viridiplantae, Streptophyta, Magnoliopsida, Poales, Poaceae. The record is from RefSeq and is a predicted model, not a curated record.